UGGGGAAUAUUGCACAAUGGGCGCAAGCCUGAUGCAGCCAUGCCGCGUGUGUGAAGAAGGCCUUCGGGUUGUAAAGCACUUUCAGCGAGGAGGAAGGUGGUGAACUUAAUACGUUCAUCAAUUGACGUUACUCGCAGAAGAAGCACCGGCUAACUCCGUGCCAGCAGCCGCGGUAAUACGGAGGGUGCAAGCGUUAAUCGGAAUUACUGGGCGUAAAGCGCACGCAGGCGGUUUGUUAAGUCAGAUGUGAAAUCCCCCGGGCUCAACCUGGGAACUGCAUUUGAAACUGGCAAGCUAGAGUCUCGUAGAGGGGGGUAGAAUUCCAGGUGUAGCGGUGAAAUGCGUAGAGAUCUGGAGGAAUACCGGUGGCGAAGGCGGCCCCCCUGGACGAAGACUGACGCUCAGGUGCG
This 410-nucleotide ribosomal RNA is filed under the name uncultured bacterium. RNAcentral describes it as "partial 16S ribosomal RNA". It matches the Rfam family "Bacterial small subunit ribosomal RNA", at positions 355 to 755 of the family's 1533-position model. The record is from RNAcentral.